This 556-nucleotide long non-coding RNA is filed under the name Olea europaea subsp. europaea. The record is from RNAcentral. Lineage: Eukaryota; Viridiplantae; Streptophyta; Magnoliopsida; Lamiales; Oleaceae.
AUUGAAUGUUGGGUAGAGAAUAUAGAUACUGUAUCUAUAAUCUGAAAGUCUCAGCAAUGACAUGAUGUACAUUUUACACUGAAAAUGGCGUGCUAUGCUUAGGAAUCAUCAAUUUCCCAUCAAACGCACACAUAUAAGACAUUUUCCAUACGAAAUGAAGCAUGGAAUCGAAACAUAAAUACAGAUAACUAGAAAAGAGAGAUCGAAUCGUACUCAGCAGGGGCGAAAGAGGAACGGAAGGGGUUGAUAGGGUUGUUGGAGAUGAGAGGGGCGGCGAAACGCCUUCCUUCGCGUCUCAAAGCAGCCAUAGCCAUUGUUGUACUCACAGUUCGAUUUGAUCCGAUUGAUCUCUGCUGAUUUUGUAAUUUUUCUUCUUCACAGAGCCAGAAAAGCAAGCUUAUUUAGGGUUUUCAAAUUGUUCAGUACUGACGAGGUAGAUCAUAGAUGCCAAAGGAAAUGGCGUCGCCCGUUCAUACGACGUCGUUUCGUUGUCCGACAUAUACGAUCUAAAAAUGGAAAAAGUUCAUGAAUGGUCACCCAACUUCUAUAUUUGUUU